GAAAUUCAAGAUGACCUUAAUUGGCUUAAAUUUAAUAGUCAACCAUGUACUGAAGUGUGCCAGAAAUGGAAAUCAACUUCGAAAUUUAGGUUGAAAAGUUUUCAAUCAGGCACCAAAGACAUUCCAAAUUUUAAACUUCUUUUAGAUCUAAAAGCAGAUGUAUUGGUAAAUAUCGAUUUUACUCAAUUGAGCAUGCAGAAAAACUAUGACCAUUGUAACAACCUUUUGUUUCAAAAAAUCCCUUUACAUGCAAAAAAAUUGAUAGGCCUAAUUGCCAAGAAAUAUUCCAUGCAAGAUGGGGUAGAAUAAGAAACAGCUGCUCUUUUGGCUAUUGUACGAUUAACAUGCUGCAAACGCUCCAUACGUUUAUGUAAAGAAGCAAAAAGAAAAUCCUGGACUCCUAGUGUUAAAGAAUGUGGCGAAUCAUUUCUUUUUCUAGUCAAUUCAAUUGAAAAUGCUGAGCAGUCAAUUGAUAAUAUUAGGAGAUUAUAUAAUGACCUGAAGCUGACACUUCAACCUUUGGUUUAUGCUGUACACCGAACAUUGCUGUUGUUGUGUACAACAAUCACAGGUGGUCAUUUGAAACCCCCUUGAAAGCAAUAGAUUUUUCGUUUAAAUUGAUUCAAAUCUUGGAUAAGGAGUACAAUAUUGCAAGUUUUCCAACUUGGAUGUUUUUACAUCGGAUUCGGAUUGCAGGUUAUGACUAUUAGUUGUUCCCAACUUUUCUGCAUUUUCCGGCAUAAUAUAAGUUGUUUAGUAAUGACAUAAUA
Long non-coding RNA from Hydra vulgaris (swiftwater hydra), 770 nucleotides. RefSeq lists it as uncharacterized. The record is from RefSeq and is a predicted model, not a curated record. NCBI's taxonomy places the organism in Eukaryota, Metazoa, Cnidaria, Hydrozoa, Anthoathecata, Hydridae.